This 85-nucleotide transfer RNA is filed under the name Christensenellaceae bacterium. Its description in RNAcentral is "tRNA-Leu". It matches the Rfam family "tRNA". From Rfam's summary of the family: Transfer RNA (tRNA) molecules are approximately 80 nucleotides in length. Their secondary structure includes four short double-helical elements and three loops (D, anti-codon, and T loops). The record is from RNAcentral. RNAcentral also lists the same sequence under 1 other name. Lineage: Bacteria; Bacillati; Bacillota; Clostridia; Christensenellales; Christensenellaceae.
GCCGGUGUGGCGGAAUGGCAGACGCACUUGACUCAAAAUCAAGCGGGCAACCCCCAUGCUGGUUCAAGUCCAGUCACCGGCACCA